CCUACGGGUUGCAGCAGUGAGGAAUAUUGGUCAAUGGACGAGAGUCUGAACCAGCCAAGUAGCGUGAAGGAUGACUGCCCUAUGGGUUGUAAACUUCUUUUAUAUGGGAAUAAAAUGUUCCACGUGUGGGAUUUUGUAUGUACCAUAUGACUAAGGAUCGGCUAACUACGUGCAAGCAGCCGAGGUAAUACGUAGGAUCCGAGCGUUAUCCGGAUUUAAUGGGUUUAAAGUGAGAGUAGGUUGAUUGUUAAGUCAGUUGUGAACGUUUUCGGCUCAACCGUAAAAUUGCAGUUGAAACUGGCAGUCUUGAGUACAGUAGAGGUGGGCGGAAUUCGUGGUGUAGCGGUGAAAUGCUUAGAUAUCACGAAGAACUCCGAUUGCGAAGGCAGCUCACUGGACUGCAACUGACACUGAGGCUCGAAAGUGUGGGUAUCAAACAGGAGUAGAUACCCUAGUAGUC
This 460-nucleotide ribosomal RNA is filed under the name uncultured bacterium. RNAcentral's name for it is "partial 16S ribosomal RNA". It matches the Rfam family "Bacterial small subunit ribosomal RNA", at positions 338 to 795 of the family's 1533-position model. The record is from RNAcentral.